GAUGAACGCUAGCUACAGGCUUAACACAUGCAAGUCGAGGGGCAGCAUGACGAUAGCUUGCUAUUGUCGAUGGCGACCGGCGCACGGGUGAGUAACGCGUAUCCAACCUUCCCCAUAGUAGGGCAUAGCCCGUAGAAAUGCGGAUUAAUGCCCUAUGUUCUCCUUUGCGGGCAUCUAACGAGGAGCAAAGAUUCAUCGGUAAGGGAUGGGGAUGCGUCUGAUUAGCCAGUUGGCGGGGUAACGGCCCACCAAGGCGACGAUCAGUAGGGGUUCUGAGAGGAAGGUCCCCCACAUUGGUACUGAGACACGGACCAAACUCC
Molecule: ribosomal RNA, 320 nt
Filed under: uncultured Prevotella sp.
Lineage: Bacteria; Pseudomonadati; Bacteroidota; Bacteroidia; Bacteroidales; Prevotellaceae
Description: bacterial SSU rRNA
Rfam family: Bacterial small subunit ribosomal RNA
Source: RNAcentral